GCCCGGUUAAUGGCCAAAUCUUGUGGCGUCGCUUCUGGGAGGAUAGUAAGGAAUAAUUCCUACAGCAUGGAAGGCAAUGUGUCUGGGGUGACAGUUUCAGGGAGGUAUCUUAUCCUUAUAUUAUUGCACCAUGAGCGGUUGUUUAGGUCCUCCAUGCCAUUUUCCAGUGUCUCCACUCUGCUUCUCAGUGGGGUGAGGUCUGAUUCGUGGGUCUCUGACCCACUCCUGGAUGUCUGGUGACAGCCCGUUGAAAAAUUGCUCCAGCAGGACUAGUUGUAGCAAAUCUUCUAGUGUGCGUCUUUGUGUGUCUGUACCCAGUCUAGUUCAGCUCUGUGCAGCUUGCAUGCCCAUUCUGCGUGAGAGUCCUUCUCCAAGGUCUCUGAACCGCCCAUGUAUGCUUCUGGUGUAAUAGCAUACCGGGCCAAUAUAACCUCUUUCACCCAGUCAUAGUUCCUAAUCUC
Molecule: non-coding RNA, 461 nt
Organism: Pelobates cultripes (western spadefoot toad)
Lineage: Eukaryota; Metazoa; Chordata; Amphibia; Anura; Pelobatidae
Source: the annotation of a GenBank genome assembly